RNAcentral lists this ribosomal RNA (36 nucleotides) under Thalassiosira oceanica. Its description in RNAcentral is "partial 18S ribosomal RNA". Lineage: Eukaryota; Bacillariophyta; Thalassiosirophyceae; Thalassiosirales; Thalassiosiraceae. RNAcentral also lists the same sequence under 4 other names. The record is from RNAcentral.
AACAAGGUUUCCGUAGGUGAACCUGCGGAAGGAUCA